UACGGAGGAUACGAGCGUUAUCCGGAUUUAUUGGGUUUAAAGGGUGCGUAGGCGGACUGUCAAGUCAGCGGUAAAAUUGAGAGGCUCAACCUCUUCCCGCCGUUGAAACUGGUGGUCUUGAGUGGAUGAGAAGUACGCGGAAUGCGUGGUGUAGCGGUGAAAUGCAUAGAUAUCACGCAGAACUCCGAUUGCGAAGGCAGCGUACCGGCAUCCAACUGACGCUGAGGCACGAAAGCGUGGGGAUCAAACAGG
This 252-nucleotide ribosomal RNA is filed under the name uncultured bacterium. RNAcentral describes it as "partial 16S ribosomal RNA". It matches the Rfam family "Bacterial small subunit ribosomal RNA", at positions 524 to 776 of the family's 1533-position model. The record is from RNAcentral.